Long non-coding RNA from Morone saxatilis (striped sea-bass), 1665 nucleotides. RefSeq lists it as uncharacterized. The record is from RefSeq and is a predicted model, not a curated record. The transcript is spliced from 2 exons. NCBI's taxonomy places the organism in Eukaryota, Metazoa, Chordata, Actinopteri, Moronidae.
ACACACACAUACUCUGUAGAGAUUCAGUGGCUAAGUGAUAACUUGUCUUAAAACAUGUUCAAAGAGUGAAGACAGCUAGAGGGGACUCCCGUGCUGUAAUUUUUCUCUGUGUUCUAAAAACAGCUCCAAUCAAAUGACAGAGGAGGGCAACGGCUCGGCAGGCACAGAGAACAGGCACCUGUAGAACAAACCCUUCUCUCCUGACAGGGAAUAUUAAUCUUAGCUUGUAAGUACUUGACAAAGGACUCUUUUGUAGCGGGCGCUGUUCCAGGGGCAGCCGUGAACCUGUGAACCAGUGAAGGGCUCAGAGAGUCAGACAGCCUUACUGCUACUUUUGCCUAAUGGACCUAAAUAUAGCAACAAAAAAACACCUGCUGCCUGGGAGAAUUCACCACUGAGAUAUCUAAUUAAUCUCAUAUUUCAUUCUGUACCCUCACUGUGACUGGCAUUAAGGAUCUCCACUUUGAUCAGCACAUCAAGCUGAGCCUCCAUCAGAAAAUCUCAGACAGUGGUUUAACAGGACGGGAAGGGGGAGGAGGAGGAGUGUGAAAGCGUAAGCCACCUUUGAUAACCAAGGCUGUAUGAAAUGGCCCUUGAGGAAACCGCAACAGCCUCAUGUGCCUGUUCUGCUCUUGUCCACUGUGUCUGCAAGAAUAACACUGGAUGGAAUGACAAUGUUGAGGGAACAUAAUAAGGUCCAGAAGAGUUUCAUCAUGCCACCCUGGGGGGACUGUGGCGGAUGUGAUCAUUGUCAGGUGCUGAUUUCUCCAGUCAGAGGGGAUGUUCCUCCCAAGAGAGGGGCUGCAUACUAACAGCAACUACUGACGUAACCAACUCCCCCUCCCAAGACUUUCUUCUCUCUAGUGGCCACCCCACAGCUCUGGGGGCAGCCCUUGUACAGGAGGGAAAUUACCUCUCCACACCAAUUACCUCAAUGCCCGCUAUCUUACUUACAUCAGCCCCUGAUGAGUCACCAUUGCCAACUGUGGAAGAGUUCCUGGAUCAAUUCAGGGAGUGAAGCCGUGGCACAUUGCUGCCCUAGUCUUUGCAUGUGGAGUACAGCAAUGCUCUGUUCGCAACCAAGCUCAGCCAUUUUACCUGCUAAAAGCCAUGGGUAAAGUUUUGUCACUUCAAACAACCCAUUUUCCCUUUACCUUGCGGUCAGUCUCAUAAAAGCACAAAGGCACUACAACUGUUGAUUUGAUGGUAAAAUCCAAUUAGCCUGUACAUCUGGAUGUGUUAUGUGAGUGUGUUUCCCCACUAAUGAUUUGGGCGCUCUUGCUUUUAUUGGGUUACUCUGUCUGGUAUCCUGUGGUAUUUCCUGUUGGACUUUCAGGGUGAUAUAGAAUGCACUUAACAGGUUGGAUCAAAUAACAUGAAAAAGCAUUUAAAGGCAGUCAUGUUUGGUACUUAAUCUUGAAACACUGCCAAGAAAGUUUUGCAAUGCAGCUAAUAAUAACACGGUCAGAUGGAGCUCAUGCAGCUUUAUAUGUUUCUCUUGUGAGAGAAACCAAACAUUAAAAAGACAGAAAUGCUGCUAUUUAAAAAGAGAUGAAUCCACAUAUAACCUUAAAAGUAAAAAAAAAACGUUCAGAAACAUACGUUCAUUCAUCUGCUGUGAACCUUCUAUCUGAGAUGUGAGAGACAGGCUGAACCGUAACAGAA